UUCAAGUUUGCACAAUCAGUUAUAUAAUCUAUGUGCUCUCAUAGCUGAUGCCUUGUUUUUGGCCAUUGAUUACAAAGGUUGAAAUCAUCAUUAUCAAAAGUUUGUUUUGGAUCGAUGGAACUAAAUAGACAAGGAGUUUCAAGUGGCUUCGAGGAGACGUCGUGAGUGGUAUUUCGAUUGUCUUUCGGGUUUGAAAGACUCGGGAUUAGGUGGAAUUGAGGAUUGUCAAAUUCUUAGAACGAAGCAAAGAAUAAUUCGAGAUUGUUAUUGUCUUCUAGGCGAAGGUUAAAUAAAGUCUUUAAUGUUUAGAUGAUGAUUUGAGAGUUUGUAAUAAUGAGAUUCUUUCUUUAGGUUGAGAUUUAUUUGGAGUUGAGGAAUAUUUAUUUUUAUCAAGUUAAUUGGCUUAGUUGACUUUUGGGAUUAUAGAGAAUAUUUGUUGUUGGUUUUAGUUCAAUGAAGAGAUUUGUUUUAGUGUUCUUUUAA
Asparagus officinalis (garden asparagus) is the source of this 483-nucleotide long non-coding RNA. RefSeq lists it as uncharacterized. The transcript is spliced from 3 exons. The record is from RefSeq and is a predicted model, not a curated record. NCBI's taxonomy places the organism in Eukaryota, Viridiplantae, Streptophyta, Magnoliopsida, Asparagales, Asparagaceae.